UUACUUACCUCGACUCUUAGCUUGUCAGGGACGGUAGCCAGGACCCAGUGUCUGCUCCAGUCUCCUUCUUCUCCUAACACUUAGCCACUAUGCGUGAGUGUAUCUCCAUCCACAUCAGCCAGGCUGGUGUCCAGAUUGUCAAUGUCUGCUGGGAGCUGUACUGCCUGGAACAGGGCAUCCAGCCCGAUGACCAGAUGCCAAAUGACAAGAUCAUUGGGGGAGGAGAUGACUCCAUCAACACAUUCUUCAGUGAGUCGGGCACUGGCAAGCAUGUGCCCAGGGCAGUGUUUGUAGACCUAGAACCCACGGUCAUUUACGAAGUUCUCACUGCCACCUACUGCCAGCUCUCCCACCCUGAACAAUUCAUCACAGGCAAGGAAGAUGUGGUCAACAACUGUGCUGAGGGCACUACACUAUUGGCAAGGAGAUCAUUGACCUCAUCUUAGACCAAAUUCGCAAGGUGGCUGACCAGUGCACAGGUCUUCAUGGCUUCUCAGUUUUCCACAGCUUUGGUGGAGGAACUGGGUCUGGGCUCACCUCCCUGCUGGUGAAACUUCUCUCUGUGGAUUAUGGCAAGAAGUCCAAGCUGGUGUUUUCCAUUUACCCAGCCCCCAGGUUUCCACAGCUGUAGCUGAGCCCUACAACUCCAUCCUCACCACCCACACCACCCUAGAGCACUCUGUGCCUUCAUGGUAGCCAAUGAGGCCAUCUAUAACAUCUGUGUAGAAACCUUGAUAUUGAGCGCCCAACCUACACUAACCUUAACCGUCUUAUUAGCCAGAUUGUGUCCUCUAUCACCGUUUCCCUCAGAUUUGAUGGAACCCUGAAUGUUGACCAACAGAAUUCUAGACCAACCUGGUGCCGUAUCCUCACAUUCACUUCCUUCUGGCCACAUACGAUGCUGUCAUCUCUGCUGAGAAAGCCUAUCAUGAACAGCUUUCUGUAGCAAAGAUCACCAAUGCUUGCUUUGAGCCAGCCAAUCAGAUGGUGAAAUGUGACCCUUGCCGUGGUAAAUGCAUGACUUGUAGCCCGUUGUACUGUGAUGAUGUGGUUCCCAAAGACAUCAGUACUGCCGUUGCCACCAUCAAGACCAAGCGCAGCAUCCAGUUUGCAGACUGGUGUCCCAUUGGCUUCAAAGUUGGCAUUAAUUACCAACCUCCCACCAUGGUGCCUGGUGGAGACCUGGCCAAGGUGAAGAGAACUGUGUGCAUGCUGAACAAUACUACAGCCAUUGCUGAGGCCUGGGCUUGCCUCGAUCACAAGUUUGACCUGAUAGAUGCCAAGCAUGCAUUUGUUCAGUGGUACAUGGGUGAGGGGAUGGAGGAAGGAGAGUUUACUGAGGCCUGUGAGGACAUGGCUACCCUUGGAAAGGAUUAUGAGGAGGUUGGUGUGGAUUCCGUUGAAGGAGAGGGAGAGGAAGAAGGAGAGGAAUACUAAUACUAUCCUUUCAGCCCUGCAGCAUGUCACCUCCCAGAAUUUCAUUCCAACAUUAGCUGACAGGCAUUGAAGCUUUCUGGUUAGAUUGUUUUCACUCAGUGGUGAUCAUGUCUUUUCCAUGUGUACCUGUAAGAUUUUUCCAUCAUGGCUCAAAGUAAAAAUUU
Molecule: RNA transcript, 1601 nt
Organism: Carlito syrichta (Philippine tarsier)
Lineage: Eukaryota; Metazoa; Chordata; Mammalia; Primates; Tarsiidae
Gene name: tubulin alpha-1B chain-like
Exons: 1
Source: RefSeq, a predicted model, not a curated record